AUGCAUCAUGUGUGCCUCUGUUUUGUUUCCCUCUUGUAUUCAUAUGUCUUGCUUCACAUAUCAUGGCACUUGAUAUAUGCAUGGUUGUUGGCGAUCGGACGCCACCACCGCCGCCGAUGCCAUCAUGGCUCUUGCCGCCGUCAAACAUUAAGCUACCAUGUAACUAGCUUUUACCUCCCGGGAGUAGCAGCCAAGUUUUUACCAGGUACUCCUCUGGCUACUCCCGGGAUCAGCGCCUCGCCGUCGGAGGAGAACAUGCGCUACUUCAAUGUCAUGGUCCUUGGCCCCGCGCAGUCGCCCUACGAAGGUGGAGUCUUCAAGCUUGAACUUUUCUUACCCGAGGAAUAUCCGAUGGCUGCUCCUAAAGUUAGGUUUCUCACAAAAAUAUACCAUCCCAACAUUGACAAGCUUGGUAGAAUAUGCCUCGACAUCCUAAAGGACAAGUGGAGUCCAGCUCUUCAGAUACGCACUGUUCUUUUGAGCAUUCAGGCACUGCUGAGCGCCCCAAACCCAGAUGAUCCUCUCUCAGAAAACGUCGCAAAACACUGGAAAUCCAAUGAAGCUGAAGCUGUUGAGACAGCGAAGGAAUGGACUCGUAUGUAUGCCAGUGGCGCAUGA
Molecule: ribosomal RNA, 618 nt
Filed under: Triticum aestivum (bread wheat)
Lineage: Eukaryota; Viridiplantae; Streptophyta; Magnoliopsida; Poales; Poaceae
Description: partial small subunit ribosomal RNA
Source: RNAcentral